GAUAAACGCUGGCGGCGUGCCUAAUACAUGCAAGUCGAUCGAUGGUAUGCCCAGCUUGCUGGGAGGAAAUAGAGGCGAACGGGUGAGUAAUACGUAAGCAACCUGCCCACGAAGACCGGGAUAAUCCCUGGAAACGGGGACUAAGACCGGAUAGGUAACAGAACCGCAAUGAUUUUUGUUAUUAAAGGUUAAAACACUGGUGGAUGGGCUUACGGUGCAUUAGCUUGUUGGUGAGGUAACGGCCCACCAAGGCGAUGAUGCAUAGCUGGUCUGAGAGGAUGAACAGCCAC
This 290-nucleotide ribosomal RNA is filed under the name uncultured bacterium. RNAcentral describes it as "partial 16S ribosomal RNA". It matches the Rfam family "Bacterial small subunit ribosomal RNA", at positions 28 to 311 of the family's 1533-position model. The record is from RNAcentral.